CCUACGGGCGGCAGCAGUGGGGAAUAUUGGACAAUGGGGGGAACCCUGAUCCAGCCAUGCCGCGUGUGUGAAGAAGGCCCUCGGGUUGUAAAGCACUUUCAGUGAGGAAGAACGCCUGGUGGUUAAUACCCAUCAGGAAAGACAUCACUCACAGAAGAAGCACCGGCUAACUCCGUGCCAGCAGCCGCGGUAAUACGGAGGGUGCUAGCGUUAAUCGGAAUUACUGGGCGUAAAGCGCGCGUAGGUGGCUUGAUAAGCCGGUUGUGAAAGCCCCGGGCUCAACCUGGGAACGGCAUCCGGAACUGUCAAGCUAGAGUGCAGGAGAGGAAGGUAGAAUUCCCGGUGUAGCGGUGAAAUGCGUAGAGAUCGGGAGGAAUACCAGUGGCGAAGGCGGCCUUCUGGACUGACACUGACACUGAGGUGCGAAAGCGUGGGUAGCAAACAGGAUUAGAUACCCUGGUAGUC
RNAcentral lists this ribosomal RNA (465 nucleotides) under Vreelandella stevensii. RNAcentral describes it as "partial 16S ribosomal RNA". It matches the Rfam family "Bacterial small subunit ribosomal RNA", at positions 338 to 795 of the family's 1533-position model. The record is from RNAcentral. Lineage: Bacteria; Pseudomonadati; Pseudomonadota; Gammaproteobacteria; Oceanospirillales; Halomonadaceae.